ACUGUGUUCUAUUUCUGUCGGCAACGACUGCUACGGCUCCUAGUUAAACGGUUGAACGUUCUUCGGUUCUGCAGAAAAGUAUAGGCAAAGAUCGAACGCCGUUGAUGUGUUCGCAAUGUGCGUGUUACGGGGAUCGAAUGUGACCAUAGAAACCGACUAGCCAAAGUCCGGAUCGCAGUGAACGUGAAGGCGCCCUCGAAUCGGGGGCUCUAUCAAGGCUCCCAGUUCUCAUGUGACGCCUGAUGGAUACGCAGAGCGCUCUUCCGUGCGUAUUAACGCGUGCGCUAGUCGUAUCCGACUGUACGUUGCGAGAGCUCCCCGGGACUGAUGUUACAGUGUUGCAACGUGCAGGACUAUCAUCAUCAUCAGCAGCAGCAGCAGCAGCAGCAGCAGCAGCAGCCUGUAAAUCGGCACCAGCGAAAGCGGACGGACGCCUCUACGCAACGAGGACAGGCCUCUGCUCAACUGCGCCGUCAAAGCGGCAUUCACGCUGCGGCUGUUCGUCCUGGAGCGGAGCUGAAGGCCGAGAAAACCAUGCACAUGACCAACAACGCACACUACAUAUUCACUCGUACCGUGCAGAAAAUGGCACGACGUAUAUAGCUCCUCCACAUAAUUGCAAUACCUGUACAGGGGCCCGGAGAGAGCAAAAUGUAUAUUGAGAUCAAAUUCUCACUCGGCAUGCAGCUGGCCACUCCAAAGGUUCUUCCAACACGCCACUUGUUUCAAAUCAGCGUCAAAAAAAAAAAAAAAAAAACAUGAAUUCCAUUUAUGAUGUGCGCCACAUCAGCGUUGUCUAGUCUCAUACGCGAUGUAUACUGGAGGACUGCCGAAAAUUCUUAUAGAGCGUACAAAAUAAAAAUGCAAUUUUUUAAAAGAAACCAAAGAAAUGAGAAAGGCGGACGUGGGAAAACCGACUACGGUCCUAAUUUUCUCGCUAAUUAUUUCAUACACUAAUUAACCUUGAUUAGCGCAUUUAUAUGGCUUCAGAGAAUGAAAAGUUCGUGGUAGUUGUCGAAGUGAUCAGCUAUCAAUUUGCAAAUCGCGCGAGAAGUCAUUCUAGGUUCUACAGCAGAAGAAUUUUUCUGACUUUUUCCGCUGGGAAACUGAAACUGGGCGCUUGUGGGGAAACCACGUGCACAAACCGUACCACGCAAUGCGAACCAUCUUUAUUGUUUCGCUGUGGUGAUUACGGCUCAUGAAGUGUCCUUGGCUUCACUGUGACGUUGGCACUGCAGAAUAUCGGCAAUGACCUAUCAUUGACACCGCUAACCUAAUUCUUUCCUUAGUGCUAGAAAUGUGCUCAUUUUCUGUGAUUUUAUGUUUUAACGUUUUAUUUCAAGACGUAGUAGUCCCAACGUAUGUGACACAUAAAACCACAGACUGUUCACUGGUGUUUUGAAUGGAUGUAAAGCAACAAUACCUCGAUUUGGGUGAGUUGGUUUAUCUUGACAGUGUUGAAAAAACGCGCUAAAGACGAAGACGACACGAGCACAUACGAUAGGACGGGCGCUGAAUUUCCAAUUAUAGCGUUUAUUUCAAACGAUCGUCCAUUUUAUGCUCUGCACAGCAGGUACCUCAUCCACCCAUCAUCAUACAAAAGAUUGUAUGCAGCAGAGCCACGGUAGCGUUCCGCCUUCCACUGCUGGCAUGGGCGCUAAGUCAAUCAGUUCAUGCAUAAGAUUCUAUAGUCCAUUCGUUCACGUGUCUAGAUACCUAUAUUUCUUUCGAGGUACCUAUAUAGACACGUGAAAGCAUUGACUAUACGAUCUUAUGAGAUGAUUGAGUUAUACAAUCUUCUGUAUGACGAUGCGUGCAUGUGGUAUCUAUUGCGUAGAGCAUAAUAUGGAUGAUAGUUUUAAAUAAAGGCUAGGUCGAAGUUCAGCGCCCCACCUGU
Dermacentor andersoni is the source of this 1897-nucleotide non-coding RNA. The record is from RefSeq and is a predicted model, not a curated record. NCBI's taxonomy places the organism in Eukaryota, Metazoa, Arthropoda, Arachnida, Ixodida, Ixodidae.